UUCCUUUUCCCAUUUGCCAUAUAUUGCCUAAGGGAAUUAAAGUGAACUUAUUCCAUUUCAAAAUCUUUCCCUAAGCCCAAGCCUAUGAACUAUCCCUCGGUAGGAGCAAAAUGGGCUAAUGACGAUUUAACAUCGGCCCAAUUUGGCCCAACAGCCGCGCUACUAGAUGGGCCAAAAAUAGGCCUACUAUCAGCAGCAUAUAGGCCCAUAGCCCCAGAGUAGCGGCCCGACUGCCCCUGUCUGACACGAGCCGCGGCGGCGUGGUCUCUCGCCUCUCGCUGCUCGACGGCCGGGCUCGCCGUCUUACGGCGGCGCCAUCGCCGUCUUCUCGCGAGUCGAGGCGAGAGGCCGCCCCCGUGGCCGUGGCCCUUCACGCAUAGAGGCAAGGGCAACUCGUCCUCUUCCACGUCGCUCCGCGAGGCCUCCGCCGUCUUCCGGUCCGGUCCCACGAGUCCGCGCUGUGCCCUAGCCCUACCGAAGAAAGGGAUCGAGAUUUCAGCUGAACAUGAUAUUGGCAUAAGCCUGCUUAAUUACCUUCUGCCAAGGGCUGUCUAGCCUUGCAUUGGACAACACAUGGAGCCCUGGUGAGACAAGUUGGAUCGUUGCAGGCUGCCCCUUUGGCCGAUUUGACACAUAAACCAUGACGUUUGUGGUCAGAUCAGCCAGUACAAGGUUGAAGCCGUUGUAC
Long non-coding RNA from Oryza sativa Japonica Group (Japanese rice), 688 nucleotides. RefSeq lists it as uncharacterized. The record is from RefSeq and is a predicted model, not a curated record. Lineage: Eukaryota; Viridiplantae; Streptophyta; Magnoliopsida; Poales; Poaceae.